Non-coding RNA from Pelobates cultripes (western spadefoot toad), 645 nucleotides. The record is from the annotation of a GenBank genome assembly. NCBI's taxonomy places the organism in Eukaryota, Metazoa, Chordata, Amphibia, Anura, Pelobatidae.
CUCACAGGCAACCAAAGCAUUGAUUGGUCAAUUGUGUUGCUUUAAUCUAGAAUAAAAACUACUUUGAUCAAACCGAGUCUACGCUGAGACAGGGAACACAUAAUGGUAUUUCUCCAGUUUCAGUGGUCCCGUAAAUUCCAAUCUUUGUAUGUUCUAAAGCUCUCCCAAUGCUUGAAGGUAAACUACAGACGGACACUGUACUUACAGUGCAUUGAUAGGUGUCUGCUACAUGACGGGGCCCGAGAGGCUCAAAUGUUGUCUGUGAUUGCUGUAUCUCUCAGGCAUAUUAAUUAUGAAUCCCUUUGUGGUAUCAGUCUCAUGGGUUAAUGGUAUAGGUUCCCUCUGUAAUGUCUGUGAGCAAGAAUGUGUUUGAGAUCCAAGCAGGAACUAACCAUAAGGAAAGUUUUAUGGAAAGAAAGUUGGGCACCACAUCAGGUUCGAUAGGGAAAAACAGAAAGCAGACAACGGAAAAUGUUCCAAUAAUGUAGAAUUCUCUGAAAUGUGGAUAAAUGUAUAAGAUUAAUAAAACGCACUUACAUUUUCCAGAGCUAACAUCUAGCUCAAAUCCUUACACUUGGGCAAAACAAUCCCCACUUAUGGAUGUUAUUAAGCUUGAAAUUCUAUGGUGUAAGCCCUCAACAGGAC